Molecule: long non-coding RNA, 2339 nt
Filed under: Strongylocentrotus purpuratus (purple sea urchin)
Lineage: Eukaryota; Metazoa; Echinodermata; Echinoidea; Camarodonta; Strongylocentrotidae
Description: uncharacterized LOC115928777, transcript variant X1
Source: RNAcentral
UGUAAAGUGAAGGCAUACACGCAGUGUUCAGGUGGCAAGGCUCGCAGCAGGGGACGGUGGUUGUGCGAUUGCCCCGAGGGAUAUAGUUGUGACUAUUCACCAGAGACUCGAGCGUUCCUCUGCAUGCCUGACGACCCAACCAGCGAUUACGAUUCGGUUAUUAACCGGAUUGCCUGAACCCACCAAUCUAAGAUGACGGGUAACCGUACUUUCAACAUUCGAUGGAUCCGUUAGGUCAUUUAUUCAUCAUAUCUUCAUUAUUAUUCCACUUGGUAUACCUUCGCCUGAACUGUCGACCUUUGACCUUUGACAUCUGUAUGUGUUACAUUAAAAAUAUACUAAUAUUUGUGUUCAAACACGGUUGUUCAAUUAAUGGACUCAUGGCAUAGUAUAAAUUCAGUUGAUUCUUUUUACGGAAUGUGGUCAUCUCCCAAAGUCCCCAAAAUAAAAUUGUAUUAACAAACUUGUUGUAUUUGCACGUAUAUGAAAUUAUAUUGCCUCUACAUUAGAAGCAGAGGAAGGGGGAGGGGGGGGGGGGCAACAGUCAGUUUUUUGGAAAACUCCUUAAUCCCAUAUGUUCUGUUUAUUUUCCUAUUUUGUAACUAUUAAAAACAAAUUUCCUUUUGAUUUUGACCAAAAUAUGAUGCCCAGAAAUCCUUAUUCAUUUCAAAUGUAUGAUUUUCUUGUAUAUAAUUCCAUGAUAUUUCUUGGCACUUUGCCAAUUAUUGCAAAUUAUGUAAAUAAUCAAGAUGUUUACGUUUUGUCAAGCACGCAUUUAGUUGAGCUAUUAAUCAAAUUCAUGGUUAGGAGAGUAGGCUAACAACGCACCUAUUUAAUUUACUAAAAAUAUAUUUGUUCUUCAGUACUAAAAUGGCAUUGGAUAUGAAGUAGAGUGUUAUAGUAUAGUCAAUGGCAAAUAACACUUUUAGUUAUUAAAGCGUCUAUUAAAGUUGUUGUGUUUUUGUUCUUUGUUUUUAUUUUAACUGUUUAAUAUGUUGUUGCAAUCUAUUUAAUCGAAAGCUAAUAUUGUAUAUCAUUCAUUAUGUCUGUUACUAUUUAAUAGCUCGGCCAUAUUUGUGUUAAGCAAGCCAUUUUGUGAAGAAUCUAAACUACUAAACCUAUGGAAGUUAAACGUCAUUGAUAUGUUUCCAAACGUGCAGUAUGCAUAAGAUCUUAUAACCCGCUACAUGGCGUGACGUCAUUUCGAAGGCAUUGUUGCUUAUCAAGUCACUAACGCAUUCUUACUAGCGCGUAAAUAACAGCGCAAGUCACUGACGCAGUCUUGCUAGCGCGUAAAUAACAGCGCAAGUCACUAACGCAGUCUUGCUAGCGCGUAAAUAACAGCGCAAGUCAUUGACGCAGUCUCUUUUGUAGCGCCUAAAUAACAGCGCAAGUCACGGACGCAGUCUCUUUUGUAGUGCGUAAAUAACAGCGCACGUCACUGACGUAGUCUCUUUUGCAGCGAGUAAAUAACAGCGCAAGUCACUGACGCAGUCUCUAUUGUAGCGCGUAAAUAAUAGCACAAGUCACUGACGCAGUCUUGAGUUAGGUACAUGACGCCUCGUGUGCAGUGGAUGCAUUACGCAAUAGUUAGAAAUGGCUCGAUGGCUUGUUUAUAAUAUCAUAUUCCAAGCAACGUCGAUGAACAAGAUAUGAAAGGAUGAUUGUGUAAAAUGAAAAAGUCAAAUGGUUUUAAUCAUUUUAGCGAAGAUACAAGGGAUCUCAUUGGUUCGAGCCCCGGCAUGACAUACAUGUACUGAACGUGCAUGUCAUUUAUACUCACAACCAAGAAGAUUGGAAAUGUGGGAUUGACAAGAUUCCAAAAGCGAUCCUAAACAUGCUAAAUGAAUAACUUACACCAUCAUGGGUAUGGUGUGUACAAUGUGUAUUGUAUUUAAAGCGCUUUGGAGACAUUAGUAUCAAGCGUAAUAUCAUAUACCCUCCAAGGCGUUAAUUCUACGAUCUUAUCGCGGUUAACUAUUAAACAAGGCAAUAACAUUACUAGUUCUGACCGUUCAAUUCAAUUAAUGUCUGGUAUCUUUUUCGAGAAAUUUAUCCUAAAGAUUAGAGAAGGCCUUCUAUUAUUUAUUAAAUAUCGAUGAUUUAAACUUCCAAAGCACAAAUAAAAAAAUAGCCCACUCAACAUGGUCAGUCGAGCUUUAGUCCAUACGUUGAUUUAGAUUUUCUAAUAAAAAUGCAUUUUAAUGUUGUGUAUUAUCAUACAUGGUGUAUCUUAGGUUUGACAUUGUUUGUGACGUAAGCAUUCUUCAUUUGUUUGCUCUUUGUUCAUGGUGGUUCAUUAUAUUUCAAAGAAAUAAAUGUUAUUUGAAAAUAAACAA